ACGGAAGGCAGCAGUGAGGAAUAUUGGUCAAUGGAGGCAACUCUGAACCAGCCAUCUCGCGUGAAGGAAUACGGCCCUAUGGGUCUUAAACUUCUUUUGUAGGGGGAUAAAGUGAGGCGUGCAUGCCUUCUUGUAGGUACCCUAUGAAUAAGGAUCGGCUAACUCCGUGCCAGCAGCCGCGGUAAUACGGAGGAUCCGAGCGUUAUCCGGAUUUAUUGGGUUUAAAGGGUGCGCAGGCGGCCCGUUAAGUCAGCGGUGAAAUGUCGGGGCUCAACCCGGGCACUGCCGUUGAAACUGGGGGGCUUGAGUACGGAUGAGGUCGGCGGAAUGUGACGUGUAGCGGUGAAAUGCAUAGAUAUGUCACAGAACACCGAUUGCGAAGGCAGCCGGCCAAUCCGCAACUGACGCUCAUGCACGAAAGCGUGGGGAUCGAACAGGAUUAGAUACCCUGGUA
Molecule: ribosomal RNA, 454 nt
Filed under: uncultured bacterium
Lineage: Bacteria
Description: partial 16S ribosomal RNA
Rfam family: Bacterial small subunit ribosomal RNA
Source: RNAcentral